Molecule: transfer RNA, 364 nt
Filed under: uncultured Microcystis sp.
Lineage: Bacteria; Bacillati; Cyanobacteriota; Cyanophyceae; Chroococcales; Microcystaceae
Description: partial 16S-23S ribosomal RNA intergenic spacer
Rfam family: tRNA (bases 135-208)
Source: RNAcentral
AAAGGGAGACCUAAUUCAGGUAGGAGACGAAAAAAAGUAGUCCCUACCAAGAAUCAAUCCCAAAAGGUCGGAGCGAGGCAAAAUUGGCUUUCAAACUAGGUUCUGGGUUCACAUAAGACCUGAAUCAGGAACAAGGGCUAUUAGCUCAGGUGGUUAGAGCGCACCCCUGAUAAGGGUGAGGUCCCUGGUUCGAGUCCAGGAUGGCCCACCUGCACAGGUGGCAAAAACAAAGAAAAGAAGCUCCGAAUCAGCACCUUAUCUUACUUAUACAGUAAGAGAGAAUGCUGGCUCUGAGUUCAGAGUCCAGAGGAACCUUGAAAACUGCAUAGAGCUAGGUGAAAAAGCCAAAAAAGAAGACCGCAAG